RNAcentral lists this long non-coding RNA (245 nucleotides) under Setaria italica (foxtail millet). RNAcentral describes it as "long non-coding RNA (SITA_LNC000292)". The record is from RNAcentral. Lineage: Eukaryota; Viridiplantae; Streptophyta; Magnoliopsida; Poales; Poaceae.
UCGAACAAGACCUCACUGACAAAGUACACCGGGCGCUGCACCUUGAGGGCAUGUCCCUCCUCCUCUUGCUCCACCACCAGAGCCGCGCUAACCACCUGGGUGGGUGCUGCGAUGUAGAGCAGGAGGGGCUCCCCGUCGGUGGGCGGGACCAGGAUCGGGGCCUUCGUCAGGAGGUUCUUGAGCUGAUCAAGCGCUUCCUGGGCCUCGGCGGUCCACAUGAAGCGGUCGGUCUUCUUCAGGAGUCA